GACGAACGCUGGCGGCGUGCUUAACACAUGCAAGUCGAACGGAAAGGCCCUGCUUUUGUGGGGUGCUCGAGUGGCGAACGGGUGAGUAACACGUGAGUAACCUGCCCUUGACUUUGGGAUAACUUCAGGAAACUGGGGCUAAUACCGGAUAGGAGCUCCUGCUGCAUGGUGGGGGUUGGAAAGUUUCGGCGGUUGGGGAUGGACUCGCGGCUUAUCAGCUUGUUGGUGGGGUAGUGGCUUACCAAGGCUUUGACGGGUAGCCGGCCUGAGAGGGUGACCGGCCACAUUGGGACUGGGAUACGGCCCAGACUCCUACGGGAGGCAGCAGUGGGGAAUAUUGCACGAUGGUCGGAAGCCUGAUGCAGCAACGCCGCGUGCGGGAUGACGGCCUUCGGGUUGUAAACCGCUUUCGCCUGUGACGAAGCGUGAGUGACGGUAAUGGGUAAAGAAGCACCGGCUAACUACGUG
RNAcentral lists this ribosomal RNA (468 nucleotides) under uncultured bacterium. Its description in RNAcentral is "partial 16S ribosomal RNA". It matches the Rfam family "Bacterial small subunit ribosomal RNA", at positions 28 to 507 of the family's 1533-position model. The record is from RNAcentral.